GCAGGUAUCAUAUAAUGGUUAUUAUAUCGCCUUGCCAAGGCGGAAAUACGGGUUCGAUUCCCGUUACCUGCUCCA
This 75-nucleotide transfer RNA is filed under the name Patescibacteria group bacterium. RNAcentral describes it as "tRNA-Gly". It matches the Rfam family "tRNA". Rfam says of the family: Transfer RNA (tRNA) molecules are approximately 80 nucleotides in length. Their secondary structure includes four short double-helical elements and three loops (D, anti-codon, and T loops). The record is from RNAcentral.